UCUGGUUGAUCCUGCCAGUAGUUAUAUGCUUGUCUCAAAGAUUAAGCCAUGCAUGUCUAAGUACACACGAAUUAACAGUGAAACCGCAAAAGGCUCAUUAUAUCAGUUAUGGUUCCUUAGAUCGUUAACAGUGACUUGGAUAACUGUGGUAAUUCUAGAGCUAAUACAUGCAAUUAAAACACGGACCUUUUGGAACGUGUGCUUUUAUUAGGCUAAAACCAAGCGAUCGCAAGAUCGUUUUAUUGGUUGAACUCUAGAUAACAUGCAGAUCUUAUGGUCUUGUACCGACGACAGAUCUUUCAAAUGUCUGCCCUAUCAACUUUUGAUGGUAGUAUCUAGGACUACCAUGGUUGCAACGGGGAACGGGGAAUCAGGGUUCGAUUCCGGAGAGGGAGCCUGAGAAACGGCUACCACAUCUAAGGAAGGCAGCAGGCGCGUAAAUUACCCACUCCCAGCUCGGGGAGGUAGUGACGAAAAAUAACAAUACAGGACUCAUAUCCGAGGCCCUGUAAUUGGAAUGAGUACACUUUAAAUCCUUUAACAAGGACCUAUUGGAGGGCAAGUCUGGUGACAGCAGCCGCGGUAAUUCCAGCUCCAAUAGCGUAUAUUAAAGUUGUUGCGGUUAAAACGUUCGUAGUUGAACUUGUGCUUUAUACGGGUAGUACAACUUACAAUUGUAGUUAUGUAUGUAAGCGUAUUACCGGUGGAGUUCUUAUAUUUAAUUAAAUACUUGUAUUUUUGUAUAUAUGUCUCCUAUUUAAAAACCUGCAUUAGUGCUCUUCAUCGAGUGUUAUUGUGGGCCGGUACAAUUACUUUGAACAAAUUAGAGUGCUUAAAGCAGGCUUCAAAUGCCGGAAUAUUCUGUGCAUGGGAUAAUGAAAUAAGACCUCUGUUCUGCUUUCAUUGGUUUUCAGAUCAAGAGGUAAUGAUUAAUAGAAGCAGUUUGGGGGCAUUAGUAUUACGACGCGAGAGGUGAAAUUCUUUGACCAUCGUAAGACUAACUUAAGCGAAAGCAUUUGCCAAAGAUGUUUUCAUUAAUCAAGAACGAAAGUUAGAGGUUCGAAGGCGAUCAGAUACCGCCCUAGUUCUUACCAUAAACGAAGCUUAUAUAGCCUUCAUUCAUAGUGGCAGUAAAAUGUUUAUUGUGUUUGAAUGUGUUUAUAUAAGUAGAGCCGUACCUGUUGGUUUGUCCCAUUAUAAGGACACUAGCUUCUUAAAUGGACAAAUUGCGUCUAGCAAUAAUGAGAUUGAGCAAUAACAGGUUUCUGAUGCCCUUAGAUGUCCUGGGCUGCACGCGCGCUACAAUAAAAGUAUCAACGUGUAAUUCCGAGACCGAAAGGUCCGGGUAAACCGCUGAACCACUUUCAUGCUUGGGAUUGUAAACUGAAACUGUUCACAUGAACUUGGAAUUUCCAGUAAGUGUGAGUCAUUAGCUCGCAUUGAUUACGUCCCUGCCCUUUGUACACACCGCCCGUUGCUACUACCGAUUGAAUUAUUUAGUGAGGUCUCCGGACGUGAUCAUUGUGACGCCUUGUGUGUUGCGGUUGUUUCGCAAAAGUUGACCGAACUUAUAUUAUUAUCAUUAUUUAGAGAAAGUAUAAGUCGUAACAAGGUUUCCGUAGGUGAACCUGCGGAAG
This 1637-nucleotide ribosomal RNA is filed under the name Drosophila virilis. RNAcentral describes it as "SSU rRNA". It matches the Rfam family "Eukaryotic small subunit ribosomal RNA". The record is from RNAcentral. Lineage: Eukaryota; Metazoa; Arthropoda; Insecta; Diptera; Drosophilidae.